This 704-nucleotide ribosomal RNA is filed under the name uncultured bacterium. RNAcentral describes it as "bacterial SSU rRNA". It matches the Rfam family "Bacterial small subunit ribosomal RNA", at positions 52 to 759 of the family's 1533-position model. The record is from RNAcentral.
CACAUGCAGUCGUACGAGAAGUCUUCUUCGGAAGGCGAGUAAAGUGGCGAACGGGUGAGUAACACGUAAGAAUCUACCCUUUGGACUGGGAUAACAUCGCGAAAGUGGUGCUAAUACCGGAUAAUAUCUACGGAUCAAAGAGGGCUUUGCUCUCACCAGAGGAGGAGCUUGCGCCCCAUUAGCUUGUUGGUGAGGUAACGGCUCACCAAGGCGACGAUGGGUAGCCGGCCUGAGAGGGUGUACGGCCACACUGGAACUGAGACACGGUCCAGACUCAUACGGGAGGCAGCAGUGGGGAAUAUUGGUCAAUGGGCGAAAGCCUGAACCAGCAAUGCCGUGUGGGUGAUGAAGCUUUUAGGAGUGUAAAACCCUUUUAUGAGGGAAGAACGUAAAGCGGUUAAUAACCGUUUUGCUUGACGGUACCUCAUGAAUAAGCCCCGGCUAACUCCGUGCCAGCAGCCGCGGUAACACGGAGGGGGCAAGCGUUGUUCGGAAUUACUGGGCGUAAAGGGCGUGUAGGCGGCCUAGCAGGUCAGGUGUGAAAUCCCCGGGCUCAACUCGGGAACUGCGCUUGAAACCGUUAGGCUUGAGGCUAGGAGAGGAAAGCGGAAUUCCUGGUGUAGCGGUGAAAUGCGUAGAUAUCAGGAGGAACACCGGUGGCGAAAGCGGCUUUCUGGACUAGUACUGACGCUGAUGCGCGAAAG